GUUAAUGUAGCUUAAACUACCAAAGCAAAGCACUGAAAAUGCUUAGACGGGUUAACUAACCCCAUAAACA
Molecule: transfer RNA, 70 nt
Filed under: Propithecus tattersalli (Tattersall's sifaka)
Lineage: Eukaryota; Metazoa; Chordata; Mammalia; Primates; Indriidae
Description: tRNA-Phe
Rfam family: tRNA
About the family: Transfer RNA (tRNA) molecules are approximately 80 nucleotides in length. Their secondary structure includes four short double-helical elements and three loops (D, anti-codon, and T loops). Further hydrogen bonds mediate the characteristic L-shaped molecular structure. tRNAs have two regions of fundamental functional importance: the anti-codon, which is responsible for specific mRNA codon recognition, and the 3' end, to which the tRNAs corresponding amino acid is attached (by aminoacyl-tRNA synthetases). tRNAs cope with the degeneracy of the genetic code in two manners: having more than one tRNA (with a specific anti-codon) for a particular amino acid; and 'wobble' base-pairing, i.e. permitting non-standard base-pairing at the 3rd anti-codon position.
Source: RNAcentral